Molecule: RNA transcript, 3355 nt
Organism: Sesamum indicum (sesame)
Lineage: Eukaryota; Viridiplantae; Streptophyta; Magnoliopsida; Lamiales; Pedaliaceae
Gene name: coatomer subunit beta'-1
Source: RefSeq, a predicted model, not a curated record
UUGGUUGAAAUUUUGCCACUAUUGCUCUCAUAUGAGCGCAAAAUCUCGACUUUCUCUCACUACAAUUCACAUAUUAAUACGCGCUCUUUCUCUCUCUUGAUCUCAGCAUUCGAGUGCGUGUUUUCUUGAUUCAUUCACUCUUCCACCUUACACUCGGAUCUCUUGGGUUCCUCGAAUUGCACAACUUACUGUAAAAGAUGCCGCUCAGACUAGAAAUCAAGAGGAAACUUGCGCAAAGAUCAGAAAGAGUAAAAUCUGUGGAUCUACAUCCUACAGAGCCAUGGAUAUUGGCAAGUUUGUAUACGGGGACUGUUUGCAUCUGGAACUAUCAGACCCAGACAAUGGUUAAAUCUUUUGAGGUCACAGAACUACCAGUUAGAUCUGCUAAGUUCAUAGCACGGAAGCAGUGGGUGGUUGCUGGUUCUGAUGACAUGUUCAUGCGUGUGUACAAUUACAAUACAAUGGAUAAGGUCAAAGUAUUUGAGGCCCAUACAGAUUAUAUUAGGUGUGUGGCCGUUCAUCCCACUCUUCCAUAUGUGUUGUCAUCCUCCGAUGACAUGCUCAUAAAGCUCUGGGAUUGGGAAAAGGGAUGGGCGUGCACUCAAAUAUUUGAGGGUCAUUCCCAUUACGUGAUGCAAGUGACAUUUAAUCCUAAAGAUACUAAUACUUUUGCCAGUGCAUCACUUGAUCGUUCUAUCAAGAUUUGGAAUCUUGGCUCCCCUGACCCAAACUUUACCCUAGAUGCCCACCUGAAAGGAGUCAACUGUGUAGAUUACUUUGUUGGUGGUGAUAAACCUUAUUUAAUCACUGGUUCUGAUGAUCAUACUGCUAAGGUUUGGGAUUAUCAGACAAAGAGCUGUAUCCAGACACUAGAAGGCCACACACACAAUGUAUCUGCAGUUUGUUUCCAUCCUGAACUUCCCAUUAUCAUAACAGGUUCUGAGGAUGGUACAGUCCGCAUAUGGCAUGCCACCACUUAUAGACUUGAGAACACAUUGAAUUAUGGCCUUGAAAGAGUUUGGGCACUUGGUUACAUGAAAGGUUCAAGACGGGUUGUAAUUGGUUAUGAUGAAGGAACCAUCAUGGUAAAGCUUGGUCGAGAGGUACCUAUUGCUAGUAUGGACAACAGUGGGAAAAUCAUUUGGGCUAAGCAUAAUGAAAUUCAGACGGUCAACAUUAAGAGUGUCGGAGCAGAUUAUGAGGUCUCUGAUGGAGAGAGAUUGCCUUUGGCUGUUAAGGAAUUGGGUACCUGUGACCUUUAUCCACAGAGCUUAAAGCACAACCCCAACGGUAGGUUUGUUGUUGUGUGCGGAGAUGGUGAGUACAUUAUAUACACGGCUUUGGCAUGGAGAAACAGGUCAUUUGGUUCAGCUUUGGAAUUUGUAUGGUCAACGGAGGGAGAAUAUGCUGUUAGGGAAAGUACAUCAAAGAUCAAGAUCUUCAGUAAAAAUUUCCUGGAAAAGAAAAGCAUCCGUCCCACAUUUUCCGCAGAGCACAUCUAUGGCGGCAGUUUAUUGGCAAUGUGCUCAAAUGAUUUUAUUUGUUUCUAUGAUUGGGCUGAGUGCAGGUUAAUACGGAGAAUUGAUGUCAAUGUCAAAAAUCUGUACUGGGCUGACAGUGGUGAUUUGGUGGCCAUUGCCAGUGAUUCAUCGUUCUACAUACUUAAGUAUAAUCGUGAUGUAGUUUCUGCCCAUCUGGAUAGUGGGAGAUCAGUAGAUGAACAAGGCGUAGAAGAUGCUUUUGACCUUCUUUAUGAAAUUAAUGAACGUGUACGGACUGGAAUUUGGGUGGGGGAUUGUUUCAUUUACAAUAACUCAUCUUGGAGACUUAACUACUGCGUAGGUGGUGAGGUGACAACAAUGUUCCAUUUAGACCGGCCCAUGUACCUACUUGGAUAUCUUGCUAAUCAGAGUCGUGUUUAUCUGAUUGACAAAGAAUUUAAUGUUAUGGGUUACACUUUGCUUCUCACCUUGAUUGAGUAUAAGACUCUUGUAAUGCGUGGUGAUCUCGGAAGGGCAAGUGAGGUCUUACCAUCAAUUCCGAAGGAGCAUCAUAACAGUGUGGCCCGUUUCUUGGAAUCACGAGGAAUGGUAGAAGAUGCACUUGAAGUUGCUACAGAUCCCGACUACAGAUUUGAGCUGGCCAUCCAGCUAGGCAAGCUGGAGAUUGCAAAGGAAAUUGCCAUGGUUGCACAGAGUGAGUCUAAAUGGAAACAAUUGGGCGAAUUAGCCAUGUCUGCUGGAAUGUUGGAGAUGGCAGAGAAGUGUUUGAAGCAAGCAAAUGACCUGAGUGGUUUGUUGCUACUCUAUUCUUCUUUAGGCAAUGCUGAAGGAAUUACUGAACUUGCAUCUCUUGCCAAAGAGCAUGGGAAAAACAAUGUUGCAUUCCUUUGUCUGUUUAUGUUGGGAAAAUUGGAGGACUGCCUUCAGCUAUUAAUUGACAGCAACCGGAUACCUGAAGCUGCGUUUAUGGCUCGGUCUUACCUUCCAAGUAAGGUGUCAGAAAUUGUUGCUCUUUGGAGAAAAGACCUCAAUAAGAUUAAUCCGAAAGCAGCAGAAUCUCUUGCUGAUCCAGAAGAAUAUCCAAAUCUGUUUGAUGAAUGGCAAGUUGCACUUGCUGUUGAAGCUAAAGCGGCUGGGACAAGGGGUAACUAUCUUCCUGCUGCUGAAUAUGUGCAACAUGCUGAUAGAUCAACCGCCAGUCUUGUUGAAGCUUUUAGAAACAUGCAAAUAGAAGAAGAAACCCUGGAAAAUGGAGGCUUGGAUUAUGAGGGUGGAGAACCAAACGGUGAAGUGCAAGAGGGGCCUGAUGGCACUCAAGAAGAGGCUAUUGUUGUGGAUGCUGAUUCAACAGAUGGAGCCGUACUUGUUAAUGGCAAUGAGGCUGAGGAACAGUGGGGUACGAAUAAUGAAGGAAAACCGUCAGCCUAAAAGCAAUUGGUUGGGCCAGUGUCAUAUUCCUAGUUUUGUAGCUGUGCUUACGCCAAGUAACUGAGUCCACUCAAGGCAAACGGUUCCAGCUGUCAACUAUUUUUCUCACGGUACACUAGAAGUUGCCUGCAAGACGCGUUCCGGGGACCAGAGGUGUCUUUCUGCCAGUGGGGUGAUAAGCGCAUUGAUUUUUUGUCGUUGGGGGCGCACACAUUGUAGACUUUCGAGUUACCAUUAUUAGUUAGCUGCGGCAUUAGUUCUCUUAUUACACAUUCUUUUAUACCAAUUUUCCGUUUAAAGCUUCAUAUGCCGUCGGUGAGAAGUGUAGAUACAUAAUAGCUACUUUUCAGAAAUUUGUAUGGGUUGAUUGACUAUCAUGGUCCUCUGAAUUUUGUUAUAUCAAUAUGCUGUUCUCUUAAUCUCCA